Molecule: ribosomal RNA, 349 nt
Filed under: uncultured bacterium
Lineage: Bacteria
Description: bacterial SSU rRNA
Rfam family: Bacterial small subunit ribosomal RNA
Source: RNAcentral
AGAGUUUGAUCCUGGCUCAGGAUGAACGCUAGCUACAGGCUUAACACAUGCAAGUCGAGGGGAAACGACAUCGAAAGCUUGCUUUUGAUGGGCGUCGACCGGCGCACGGGUGAGUAACGCGUAUCCAACCUGCCCAUCACUUGGGGAUAACCUUGCGAAAGUAAGACUAGUACCCAAUGACGUCUCUAGAAGACAUCUGAAAGAGAUUAAAGAUUUAUCGGUGAUGGAUGGGGAUGCGUCUGAUUAGCUUGUUGGCGGGGUAACGGCCACCAAGGCGACGAUCAGUAGGGGUUCUGAGAGGAGGUCCCCACAUUGGAACUGAGACACGGUCCAACUCCUACGGGAGGCA